GUCUCGGUGUUGUUGGUCUGUCUUGGGUACCUUUAUUUUUUAUUUUUCCGAUUGUGUUGUUGUGGUUUCUCUUUCUUCUGAGUAUUUCUGGUGCUCUUUGUUUUCCUUUUCUUGUGUGAUUGGUUGUUCGUUUUCUAUGUUGUAGUUGGGUUGGUUUUUCUUAUUUUUUAUUUAGUAGUAACUUCAAUUAUAAUAGCUAAAAGUGAUGGUUGUCGACAGAUGUUUAUCAUAGCGGAAACUAUGAUAGUCAGA
RNAcentral lists this long non-coding RNA (252 nucleotides) under Lathyrus oleraceus (garden pea). RNAcentral's name for it is "Pisum sativum (pea) long non-coding RNA (PSAT_LNC008019)". Lineage: Eukaryota; Viridiplantae; Streptophyta; Magnoliopsida; Fabales; Fabaceae. The record is from RNAcentral.